GCUGGGCGCCGGGCCUGUUUGGCUGUGACGCCCACCCCCGGCUUUCAUCCGCCUAUGCCCUAGGGCUAGUGGAAGACUUAAGAUGGCGGCGUUUGCACGGAGUGCAAUCACUGCGUCCUUACGGGGGUUGCAAGGCGUCCGAAGUAUGAGUCCACUAACAAAAGUCCAGAAACUCGCCAGUUAAUAGUAUUGUGUCUCUUCAAAAUAUCGGAGAAUAAUUUCUUUCUCGCUGAUCGCCUAACUUCUACUGACGAAGCUUGGAAGUUGCAGAAGGUACUGGCUCCUGUAUCACCCAGCUCUGGAGUUGAAAGAGCUCUUCAUUCCUGAGUCUCCUGUACCACUGAGAAUAGGUAGUUUUCUCUCCUCUCCUCUCCUCUCCCCUCCCCUCCCCUCCCCUCCCCCCCUUUUCUUUUCUUUUUUCUUUUCUUUUUUUGAUGGAGUUUCACUACUGUUGCCCAGGCUGGAGUGCAGUGGCGCAAUCUCGGCUCUCUGCAACCUUCACCUCCCGUGUUCAAGUGAUUCUCCUGCCUCAGCCUCCUGAAUACCUGAGAUUACAAGCAUGCACCACCACGCCCGUCUAAUUUUGUAUUUUCACUAGAGACGGGGUUUCUCCAUGUUGGUCAGGCUGGUCUCGAACUCCCGACCUCAGGUGAUCCGCCCGCCUCAGCCUCCCAAAGUGCUGGGAUUACAGGCAUGAGCCACCGCGUCCAGCAAGAAUAGGUGAUUUUCAAACUUGGAAACAUUCAGAAGUUAUCGCCUCAGUUUCAGAUUGAGUAGUCUCAAAGAGAUUACAGACAUCUACCACAAAUUCUCUACUUGGUGUGGUGCAAAAUCAGUAUGAUGUAAACUUUGUCUCUCAGUUUCUUCAAAGGAAAGAAGCAACUGGAACACACAUAUAACACUAACCCUUCCAGCUGCAUUAUGAGGGACCAGUACCUGUCUCAAGGCAAAAUUAUGACUUAGUUCAUCCUCACCUCUGGAGGCCAGUAAAAGUGGGUUAUAGAAGAACAAAGAGGCAUCUAGAUCUUUCACUGGGUUAUUUGGAGAGAAACAUCUCCUACCGAAGGCCAGUUUAACAAGACUGGUAGAGGAGGUUAUCUUAUCUAAUUCACAGAAAUCAACACAUUGAGUCAAGAAAAAUGAAACACAGAAACACUCUAAAUAAAAGAAGAUAAGUCUUCAGAAACCAACCCUAAUGAAAUGAAGAUAUGUGAUUAACCUGACAGGAAAUUAAAAAGAGCAACCAUAAAGAGUCUCAUGGGAGCAAUGCAUGAACAAACUGAGAAUUUUCAUAAAGAAAUAAAAGAUAACAAAAAGUAUAAAGUUGAAGAAUACAAUAACUGGACUCAAAAAUUUAAUGUGUCCAACAGAAGAAUCGAUGAAGCAGAAGAAAGGGCUAUCAAACUUGUAGAUAGGCCAUUGGAAAUCAUGUAAUGUGAGGAGAAAAAAGAAAAAAGAUUGAAGAUAGUUUAAGAGACUUUUGAGACAUCCUCAAAGGGGAAUAAUUUAUACAUUACCAGAUGGAGAAGAUAGAGGGAAAAGGACAGAAAACAUAUUUGAAGAAAUAAUGUCAGAAAACCUCAUAAUUCUGGCAAGGAAAUAGAAAUUUAGAUCUAAGAAUCUCGAACAUCAGGUAUGAUGAAUCCAAGGAGACUCACACCAAACCAUAUUGUAAUUAAAUAAAGGUUAAAGACAAUCUUCAGAGCAGCAAGGGAAUAGUCUCUUCUUACAUACAAAAUGAUCCACGGAAGACUGUCAGCAGACUUCACCAGAAAACUUUCACGCCAGAAGGCAGUCGUGAUAUAUACAAAAAGCUGAAAGGAAAACACUGCCAUCCAGGAAUACUAUCUCCAACUAUCCUGUGUUUCAAAAAUUAAGGAGAAAUAUAAAGUUCUCAAACAAAAGAUGUGGGAGUUUACCACCACUAGACCUGCACGGGAAGAAUUGCUAAAGGGAGUCCUUCAAGCUGUAGUAAAAGAGUGCUAAUUAGAAACAUGAAAACGUGAGUAUAAAACUCGCUGAUAAAAGUAAGUACAUAGUUGGCUGGGUGCGG
Molecule: long non-coding RNA, 2053 nt
Filed under: Homo sapiens (human)
Lineage: Eukaryota; Metazoa; Chordata; Mammalia; Primates; Hominidae
Description: non-protein coding JPX:1
Rfam family: JPX transcript, XIST activator conserved region 1 (bases 61-195)
Source: RNAcentral